Taeniopygia guttata (zebra finch) is the source of this 6195-nucleotide long non-coding RNA. Lineage: Eukaryota; Metazoa; Chordata; Aves; Passeriformes; Estrildidae. The record is from Ensembl.
GUGAACACGUUUCCCUUUCUUCCCGGAGUGGGGAUCUACCCCAACCGCAGGCAGGUGUUGGGCACAUUUUGGUGGAGGUAACGAAACCACGGCUCUGAGUGGAGCUGUCAGGUCUUUCCACUCUGUCCUUGCUCGGCAAACUCUCCCCCACGGACAAAAAGGCGAGAAAUUGAUAGUAUUUAUUCGUUUCCCGGCCUCACUGAGAGAUCGGGAAAAAUAUUCUGGAAAGCGUCACUGAAAUCCUUCAAGGCUGGAUUUCAGGCGCUGCUAUCAGCUGUCGACGACGAAAAACGGGCAGUACACUGUUUUAUACGGAAAUUAAACAUAUUGGAGCCUCACGCCAGAUCUAGCUGAUAUUAUAGUCGAUUUCCCAGAAUUUUCCUUCUGCUUUUGCACUGUAUUCCUUUGUCGCACUUAUUUAUGUGACUGGGACAGAGAGCAGAGAAAUCAUCAUCGAGAGGGACGCGCGUCUUGGGAUAAUCGGAAACAAGGGUUCUUUUUAAAAACAUCUUUUAUGGCCUCAAAAUUCAUGGGGAAAAAAAUAAAAUAUACGCGAAAGCACCGUAGCAGAACCGAUAAGAUAUAAUAAAGGCAAAUUAAUCGGAAACGAACGUUUCCCGGAAAACCAAGUGGUGCAAAGCGGAUUUCUAGCGCGGGGCCGGGCCGAGGGAGAGGCUCUCACCGCCCAAGCCGCAGGUGCCUCGGCGGGGCUGUAGAACCCUUUGGGUUUGUAGCCUUUUCCCCGCUCCCGCCCAGUGCUCGGGGCAGGGAUGGAUCCCGGCUCGGUCCCGCUUCCCAGCCCCGGGCUCUGCUCGCCGUUCCCGCCUGGAAAUUCAGCAUUUUGGUCAUUUUCGCCUCCCGCGGCCGUGAGGGUUCCGCCGCAUUUCGGGGCUUCCCUCGGCCGCGUUCUCUGGGAAGGUUUUAUAGAAAUAUAGAAACCAACCUCCCGCCCCACACGGUUUGUUUUCCGCUGGGUACCCGAGAUAUUCCCCGGGCUGCCCCGACGGGAAGGUGCGGAAUUUUGCCGGGUUGCUGCCGGUUUUUAAAGGAGGGAGAAGAGGGGAGGGGGUUUGGGGGGGCGGCGGCUGCCGCCUCUAUUUUAAUGUCAUUAUAGUUACCGUGGCAACCCAUUGGAUCACUCCUCCUGGAAUGAACCUUGUGACAAUGGUUGGUUUGCGAGAAAUCGGUAAAUGUGCAACCGGGGGACACAGCUACAUUACCGCCAACAACAGCGAGGGUUUAACAUGUGACCCUUCCAAUUAUGCCGAUGAUACCUCGGUGCAGCUGCCUCCGCCGUGCUGCGGAGAUGCGGCUUUUGGGGGGGCUGGGGAGGGUUCCGGGGCUGUUUCAGGGCACAGCCCGGUGGGGAUGGGGCCGCAACCCGCACCGCCUCUGCACUGAGAGGAGAACAGCAUCUCUGCACCGGGAUCGCGAAUGUGGUCCCAGCCACUAAAAGACAAAAAGGAAAAAAAAAAAAAAAAAAAGAAGAGGAAAAAUCUUCUUCGGGAAAUUCAAUAUGCGGAGGGGCUGUGGCUGUAGGGCUGUGGAAUAAGGACCUGCUUUGGGGGCUGGGCAGAGACCCCCCCCCCCCCCCCCCCCCCGCCCCGGCGCACACGGUACAUCUGUGGCACGGCUGCAGGAAGGACAGGAAGGAACGAACAAAACCCACCCCCUCCCCGGAAAAAAAAAAAAAAAAAUUGUUACAAGCCUUAAAAUAUGGUUCAGAGAAUUACAAGUAAUCAGAGCUGCGGGGGUCAGCAGUGCAAACUUUUUAAGACUAAUGUUUAUUUAGAAAAGUGAGUGGUGUCUGCGUUGCUUUUCUAGUGCCCCAGCACAAAAGUCCUAAUGGCUUUUGCAGACUUUCCAUCACAAACUCCUGCACAGGACGCAGGGACCACCGCCGAAAGCAACCCCAAGCUGCCCCUUUCGAAGGUAUCAUCGGCACAGGGUUUAUAACCCCCUCGCCCGUCUUUCCACGAGUCGAUGACGAUAUUUUCUGCGCCCCUUCCUCAGUUUUGCCCCUCUUUCGCGUUACUUUGGUGUAACCCGAACCCUCCCCUAAUACCGUGGAGGAGAGAAAUCGGGGGAUGGGAACGGCUAUCCCCACCUCCUUCCCCAGUCCCGUUCAGCCCUGGACGGUGCUGAAAGCAGCGAGCUGGAAACCUCGUUAGGGAGAAGCCGGGGGCAGAGGCAGGAACCGGCGCGGGGCGGGCUGGCCGCUGUCCUGGGACAAGGCAGAGCUGGCAAAUCCAUUCUCCCGUCUCAUCCCUUCCAGCCGCUCUCCCGAGAGCCCAGCCACACCACCGGCCCUUGGGUAGCUUUGGGUGUCUCUGCUGAGCCCAUCCCAAAGCUCAGCCCGUGGAUAAAACAUGAUCGCCAAUUGGGAUUUGACUGCCUUAGCAGAGCCGAGGCUCCGUCUGGGGAUGCUCCUUUUGUUCUCAGGACUGGAAGAAUAAAACCAGCAGCUCCGCACACCUCUGGGGACAAUUCCCCCUCGACUUUAAGCAGGAGGUGGAUACAGGGGAAACGCAGACCUGGAAUUUCACUGAAAGCCAGUGGCCUCAGCCCUAGGUGUCUUGCAGCAGGGCAGGGGAAAAGCCCCUGUGUUCAGGUCGUUCCCUCCUGCCCUUGACAGGUGUCAGGAUCUGGGAAGGAUGAGCAAGACAACAGGAUGCUGUCCCCUCUCCUGUCAUUAGCGCUCACAGCUCAUCACUGAGCAACCAGAGCUGCUUUGCAGUGGGAUGUGCAGGAGAGAAACAGGGUGGCAAGAGGAAUGGGAUGGAAGGGGGAGAGAAGGCGGUUGGAUCUUUCUCUCUUUCCAGCCAAGUGACUAUCUUGCCCUGAUCCUGAAAAGGUAAGCUCUGUUUAACCCCUUCUUUGCUCUGCAUAGGGAAAAACACAAAGCUUAAACCUGGGAAGGCUGAACCAAGAAAUGGCAGCUGAAAGUGCCUCUGGAAACACACCCCUGAGGCCUGAUCCUGGCUGCACCUACCUGAAUCAAGCACAGAUGCUCAGCUCUGUCAGAAGCAGGUCCAGGGUUGAUGUUGUGGCUGGUGCUGCGAAGCUGAGUUUGAUGGAGGGAGGACAGUGCUAUUUCUAAACUGCUGAAAUGUGCCUGACACUUGAGGGAAGAUCAUCUCCUCUCCCCCAAGGGCUUUCAUUUGAAGGGCUUGACUUAGCUUUCAAACAAGUUGAUAAGACAUUCUGGCCUUCUGACUCCCAUUAUCUCCCCGAGGGCCCUGCACCCUCCUCCAUGUGCUGGAGCACCCAGAUUAGGUCGCUGUAAUUGCUCAUGGAGUGGAGGACCCCCAGGCAGGACCUGGCACUUCUCUUCAGGGUUUGGAGAGCUGCUGCAAAGCCAGGCAGAGGGAAGGGGCUGGGUGACAGCAGUGCCUGCUAUUCUGUAUCUUUCUAUCCCCCUUACGAAGCAAAAAUGCUGGGAACACUGUUCAUCCCUAAAUUUGGAACAUUUGGGCUGUAAUGAUUUGGAUGCAUUUGAAGAGGGGAGGCAGGGAAGAAGGAUGCAGAGAGAGGCACGAGAAGGAGAAAGAGCCACAGCCUUGCUGGCAUGAAGUUGAUUUGUCUGAAUCCUGUCCUUUUGUGUCUGUCAUUGUCACUGUACCCAGGAGAUGCUGCAACCACAUGCACAUGAGGCCCAGCCAUGCAAGAAGGCUCCCACAGGUAUCACAACACUGCAGCCACUUGCCUUGCCCCUCUGUUUGAACAAAAGCUGUACUUUUCCCUGCUAGGGAAGGGUGGGAAUUUCAACCAGCUUCUCCUGCAGCUGUGUUCUGCUCCCCAGGAGCAGGGGGGCAGAGGUGCAUGUGCCAUCAGGAGUGAUGGUGAGAGAUGGAGCAGGUGCCAAUGGGUGCCCCACAGAGUCCAUGGGCCAGUGCAGCAAAGCCCCUCCAUCCCCCAGGGGCUGGGGCCAGUCUGAUGCUCCAGCGAGGUUUUUCAUCUCCCUCCUCGAUGUCAGCAGAGCACAAAGGCAGGGGAGAGGUCAACCCCUCUGUUAAUACAUGUGUUUUAAAUAACUGGUAUUUUUAUUUCUUCUCUUCGGUGUGGUGGGCUUGGCACACAUCUUUGUUUGCACAAUCGUCCUGCCCAUAGGUUCUGUUGCCCAAGUAAGGAGAAAGAGAUCCUGUGUGUGAUCUGGAGGUGUGCUGUGCUGGUUCUGACAUGUAAAUAUUAAUCAAGAAACAACAAUAGAGAGACAAAAAAAUCCCUCCUAUCCUUGAACCCCUUCAGAUCCCUUUAUUGUCCAGGCAUUUGUUGCACUUGGACUGGUUUUUCACUUUCUCCUCUCAGAGAGGUUGGCUCCAGCAAUGGUCCCCAGAUUCCUCAGCUACAUCCUACUGAGGGAAAACAUUUAUUGAAGUUUUCAGCUUAUUAGGGAAAUACAUAUUUCUGCUUCUUUUCCAAACUCCACUGACAUCUUUUCGAAGCCAGCCCUGUGUGUCAGCAUGGGGGAAGGCGAGGCAUCCCCUCUCUCUCCUCUUGCAGCUGUAUGAACUUUGAGUACCCCAAAACAUCAUGGAGAGGGAAUUCCUACCACCACCAUGUGCUGCUUUGGUGGACAAAAGCGGUGAGUAUAUGUGUAGAUUGUUUUCCUCCAUAAAGCUGUGCUUCACUCACUCACACCUCUGAGGAAACACAGGGUACUUGGACACCCAUCCAGCUCCCCAGAUAUCCACAGUGCAGCUGAACUUUGCCAGGGCAGCAUUGAUGAGGUGAGAGGGCACAGGGAGGUGUCCAGUGAGAGAAUUGGACAGCCUGUUUCAUAUGAAGGAGACAAAAUACUUUUCCCUGGGUUAUCCUGUAAAACUCACUCUCUCAUGGCUCUCACUCUGCUGGCAGACUCUCAGGUGGUAACUACCAAGUGCUCAAGUCUGGAUGUGGCCUUUAACUUCAGAUGUCCUUCAGGCUUCAGCUGCCAGAGGUUGGCAGAGAGUAGCAGGGAGAGAAUCAUCCUGUGCUCACUGUUUCUUUUAUUUUCUUUCUAAGCAUCCAUCCCUAGACACUGCUGGAGGGGAGAUUCUGGAGCUUUGGAUGAAAUCCCACAAAUUUUCAUGGAAGCAGAACAGCAGGAAGGCAAACAGGAAAGAAGAGGAGUAAUAUACUAAUCUCAGGGGCACUUGUUGCAUUUCUCUCUUUUCUCUGCUGCGCUGUUUCCUUUUCCUCCAGCCACAUACUACAGGAUCACACCAGAUGAAUUAAGGGAUUAAACCAUAAGGGAGAAUUAGGAUCCUGCUGAUUUAGAACCAGAAACCAGAUGGGCUUAUUGAACUUUAGAUGCUGCAAGAAAAUCUUGGGUAGUGCUUUGGAGGUAGGUCACAGGAUAAUUCAAGUUAUUGGGAACCUCCGAAGAUCUCUGGUCCAACAGCCCCAAAGCAAAGUCAUCUUAGGUCAGAUUGCCCAGGGCUAUGUCCAGCAAAGUCCCCAGGGAUGGAGAUUCCCCCACACCUCUGGUUCUCUGUGUUGAACCAUCUUCAGGGUAAAUUUCCCCCAAUAUCUAAUCCAAACUUUCCCUUCUGCAAUGUGUAUUUAUUGCCUGUCCUUCCAUGUCUGUGUGUAUACCAGGUUCAUCAGGACCCAUUCAGGGCCUGUUGUGCCUCCCUUGUAAACCAGAUUGUCGGGCACAAAUUUCCUGUCUUAGACAGAGGUUAGUGGGCCUUGUGAGCACCUUGGACUCUGCUAGUGGAAGCAGGUCUGGAUAGGUCUCACCUCUCCAGGGUGCACCAGUGCUGCCUUUGAAUGGCUCUCACCUGUGUAACGGGGUGAGGAUUUGCUGCUACUGUGACUGGAGACAUCCUGAGCAACAUCCAAACAUCACUCCCAUAACCCACCUUCAGGAUUAUCCAGGAGGUGGUGGGUCUGGAGAAAAAGGACCCGUGGUGGCCUUUGGCCUGCUGCAUCCACCUGGGGAAACAAAGGCAUGGAUAAUAAAGGUCACCUGUUCACCUUCAUGGUUGACAACUGAGCCAAGAAAUUCCUUCUCCCCAGACUGCCUGGGUCACACAGCAUGGGGCCAUGCUCAGACACAGCUUUUGGUGACAGGCUCACAGGCAGGUGGACCUCUUCCAGUACAUUUUGGCAGCUGGGAAUCAUCUCAGUGAAAGACAGGGCUGUGAUGUGUUUGGCUGUGCCUUGUAGGAGAGGAGAGAAGAAAAAAUUAAAAAAAAAAAAAAGAAAAAA